CGCCUGUUUAUCAAAAACAUCGCCUCUUGUACCAAUUACAUAAGAGGUCCCGCCUGCCCAGUGACUAAAUGUUUAACGGCCGCGGUAUUUUAACCGUGCAAAGGUAGCGUAAUCACUUGUCUUUUAAAUGAAGACCUGUAUGAAUGGCAUCACGAGGGCUUAACUGUCUCCUUUUCCUAAUCAAUUAAAUUGAUCUCCCCGUGCAGAAGCUGGGAUUUUAACAUAAGACGAGAAGACCCUACGGAGCUUUAAACAUAUCAAGCAUACGUCAAGUACUUUAAAAUAAAAAAAAAUGAACUAAGUAUCUUUCUUGUAUUGUUUUUGGUUGGGGCGACCACGGAAGAAUAAAUAUCUCCCAUGCUAAAAAGCACUAAUGCUUUUAAAACUAAGACCACCAAGUCUAAGUCGUAGAAACUCUAAAAAUGAUCCGGCCAGCCGAUCAACGAAACGAGUUACCCUAGGGAUAACAGCGCAAUCCCCUUUAAGAGCCCUUAUCAACAAGGGGGUUUACGACCUCGAUGUUGGAUCAGGACAUCCUAAUGGUGUAGCCGUUAUUAAGGGUUCGUUUGUUCAACGAUUAAAGUCCUACGUGAUCUGAGUUCAGACC
This 607-nucleotide ribosomal RNA is filed under the name Tonlesapia tsukawakii. Its description in RNAcentral is "partial large subunit ribosomal RNA". It matches the Rfam family "Bacterial large subunit ribosomal RNA", at positions 1797 to 2617 of the family's 2925-position model. The record is from RNAcentral. Lineage: Eukaryota; Metazoa; Chordata; Actinopteri; Syngnathiformes; Callionymidae.